GACACCCAAGUAGCACGGGGCCCGAGAAAUCCCGUGUGAAUCUGGCGGGACCACCCGCUAAGCCUAAAUAUUCCCUGGUGACCGAUAGCGGAUAGUACCGUGAGGGAAUGGUGAAAAGUACCGCGGGAGCGGAGUGAAAUAGUACCUGAAACCGUGUGCCUACAAGCCGUGGGAGCGUCGGAUGGAAGCUUGCUUCCGAUCGUCGUGACUGCGUGCCUUUUGAAGAACUGAGCCUGCGAGUUUGCGGUGUGUUGCGAGGUUAACCCGGUGGGAAGCCGUAGCGAAAGCGAGUCCGAAUAGGUCGUUUCAGUAGCACGCUACAAGACCGAAGCGGA
RNAcentral lists this non-coding RNA (335 nucleotides) under Streptomyces afghaniensis 772. RNAcentral's name for it is "Bacterial large subunit ribosomal RNA". It matches the Rfam family "Bacterial large subunit ribosomal RNA", at positions 403 to 724 of the family's 2925-position model. Lineage: Bacteria; Bacillati; Actinomycetota; Actinomycetes; Kitasatosporales; Streptomycetaceae. The record is from Rfam by way of RNAcentral.